UGGGGAAUAUUGCACAAUGGGCGAAAGCCUGAUGCAGCAACGCCGCGUGCGGGAUGACGGCCUUCGGGUUGUAAACCGCUUUCAGCAGGGACGAAGGUUUUCUGACGGUACCUGCAGAAGAAGCACCGGCUAACUACGUGCCAGCAGCCGCGGUGAUACGUAGGGUGCGAGCGUUGUCCGGAAUUAUUGGGCGUAAAGAGCUUGUAGGCGGUCCGUUGCGUCGGAAGUGAAAACUCAGGGCUUAACCCUGAGCCUGCUUUCGAUACGGGCGGACUUGAGGGAUGUAGGGGAGAACGGAAUUCCUGGUGGAGCGGUGGAAUGCGCAGAUAUCAGGAGGAACACCAGUGGCGAAGGCGGUUCUCUGGACAUUUCCUGACGCUGAGAAGCGAAAGUGUGGGGAGCAAACAGGCUUAGAUACCCUGGUAGUCCACGCCGUAAACGGUGGGCACUAGGUGUGGGACCCAUUCCACGGGUUCCGUGCCGUAGCUAACGCAUUAAGUGCCCCGCCUGGGGAGUACGGCCGCAAGGCUAAAACUCAAAGGAAUUGACGGGGUCAUGAGCUGUUU
This 566-nucleotide ribosomal RNA is filed under the name uncultured bacterium. RNAcentral's name for it is "partial 16S ribosomal RNA". It matches the Rfam family "Bacterial small subunit ribosomal RNA", at positions 355 to 931 of the family's 1533-position model. The record is from RNAcentral.